This is a long non-coding RNA of Syzygium oleosum, 918 nucleotides long. RefSeq lists it as uncharacterized. The record is from RefSeq and is a predicted model, not a curated record. The transcript has 3 exons. NCBI's taxonomy places the organism in Eukaryota, Viridiplantae, Streptophyta, Magnoliopsida, Myrtales, Myrtaceae.
UUUCUGAUUAAUCUGGUGUGACUAGAUUAAGUACGCAUCAUUAUGUCAAGUGAUUCAGAGACUCCGAUAGAUGCUACUGUUGAAUCCGGUGAGACUGGAUUAGCCAUGAAUAGAUCUGGUGCGACUGGAUCUGAUGUGAUGCGGUCACAAGCUCCGACCUUUAUAUCUACUUCGUCUAAGCUCGUCGAACGUGUUUUGACGGGACAGUCUACAUACACACUUUGGAAGAAGAAUGUUUUCAAGAAUUUGCACGGACAGCGGUUAUCUCAUCAUCUUACUCAGCCUCCCCCGAGCAGGGAUGACCCGACUUAUGAUGAAUGAUGCUCGAGUUCCUUCUCUUGGAGAAGUUCAUCGUCGUGUUCUUCAUACUGCGAGUCGUAAGGAGGUUAAAGCCGCCCCCUCAGAGGUUGGUGAAUAGGCUGCUGCUUUAUAUACGAACAAAGGAGGUGGCCAUGGCAGUGGAGGCCGUGACCGAGGGGGAGGUCGUGGUGGUACUACCGGUCGUGGUCGGGAGACUCGUACUUGCAAUUAUUGUGGUAUUGUUGGACAUCUUCGCAGCUAUUGCCGAAAAUUACAAGCUGCACAAGCAGCUUCUGGUUCACUAACCACAUCUGCUCAUGUUGCGCCUGAGAGCGUGCCUAUGGACCAAAAGGUGAUCACAAUGAGUCCUGAGGAGUAUACUCGCUACUUGGAGUUUCAGACCUCAGGGAGUAGGACUGCGUCUGCCUCUAUUGCACAACUACAGCAAUCAUCUAAUUAUUCCUCUACCUCAGCAUGUGCAGCUCUUCCUUCCGCUACUUGGAUUAUUGAUUACGGUGCGGUGCUCACAUGACGGGUAAUAGAGAUCUCUCGAUGCGGAAGACUAUCAGUAAGGGAAGUGUCAAUGGUGGGAUCUACCAGCUAGAUGGUGCGUCUAUU